Molecule: non-coding RNA, 106 nt
Organism: Mycena belliarum
Lineage: Eukaryota; Fungi; Basidiomycota; Agaricomycetes; Agaricales; Mycenaceae
Source: the annotation of a GenBank genome assembly
AGCAGCAUGGCGCAGUCUGGAAGCGCGCGGGGCCCAUAUGUGCAGAUGGUUUCUUAUCAUCAAUUGAGCCACCCCGAGGUCACUCGAUCGAAACGAGUUGCUGCUA